GGCAGGACCCAAUGUUGGAAAUGGACAUGGAGAAGUAAAAGCCAUGAGAUGAAGUUUGGAUUUUAUUCUGAAAGCCAAGGAAAGCCAUAGGCAGGUAAAAUUCCUAUUGAAGAGACUCCCAAAAUAAAGUAUAUCAUUGAGGGUCCCAUCAGGAGGCAGAACUAUUCAGUAGGCACAAUUAUUACCAUUUAGUGCAAGUGACAGCUUGAUUAAUUGUGAUGCCACUGCAUGCCAUGCAUUACUAGCAUCUCAUUUCCUACUGGCAAGGUGCCUAACUCUGCUUUCAAAUUCAAGGACACUUCCAAACCAAUUCACAACCUUGUCCUGGGUGGUCUUGGGUUUUUUGGGUACCAAAUUCUAUAAAUGUGAGAGGAUAUAGAAAUCGCAUAGCAAUUUUAAUGGAAGUAAUUUACUAUACAAGACGGUUAACUAGAAUUCAUCCAGCUAGGUGACAAAAAAGGGUAAAAAAAGAGAGAAUUCUAAGGAAAUAACUGCAGGAAGCAGCCACUCUGGACUGCAGCAAAGGCAAGAUGUGGGACUUAUUAAAGCCUGAAGGAGGGGCUACUUGGAGUUGAAACUCAGAACUAUUGCUUGGCAUGUGCUGGUAGCUCAGGAUACUAGGAGGGUCCUGUGGGGUGAUGCUGCUAUGGAUAUCUUUGAGAGGGCUCAAUGAGGCUAUUUCUGUGAGUCCUGGAGAGACCAUAAAAGCAGAUGCAGCUGCUUCUAUGAAAGAAACUGCUGCCUCCAGGGUGAUGGCGUGACAAUCACAAGAACAGGAGAAUGAAAAGAAGGAGCAAGUCUAUCCUUCUUCCUGCAAAAAGGUGAUCUGUACAGUCACAGUCCUACAAUCAUAAAGCAGAGCCCAGUGAUGCUGAAAGAUGGAAAUGGAUUGCCUGCCCCAGGAAGGUAAUGCGGAGAAGGCAAUGGCACCCCACUCCAGUACUCUUGCCUGGAAAAUCCCAUGGACAGAGGAGCCUGGUAGGCUACAGUCCAUGGGAUUGCACAGAGUUGGACACAACUGAAGCGACUUAGCAGCAGCAGCAGCAGCAGGAAGGUAAUGCAGGACAAAUCAGUGCAGCAGGUGAGAGCCAUGCAGUAAGAGUCCUCCACUCCCUUUUCUGAGCACCUAGACAUCUCACUGCAAACUAAUUAACUACUCUCCUUUUGAAGCCUCCUGAAGAGGCUUCAGAGCUCCAGAUUAACUAACCCCUUCAAUUCAUGUGAUUCUCAAAGGCAAAUGUGUGUAUUCUUAGCUUUCCUCCAGGUGCUACAAAUCCAGACAAAGGAGGCCUGGAUGAUGGCAGUCCUCAGCAUGGUCUCAGACAGAAAAAGGACCUUUCUCCCUCUCACAGCUCUCAUUCUGAGGAUCAUCCCUGAUCGAUUUAUUAGAUUAGAGCUGUUGCACUGUCUGCUAAUCAGAAAACACUUGAUUUAGCCUCAGGUGAUCUUCUUAGGUAAUUAGCUCGGGUACCUAACACCUGACUCCUCUUUCUAUUUGGAGAAGAUUUGAUAAUCCAUUUAUUCUUUCAGAAGGCCUGGGGACUGCUGGGAAUUUCAGUUAUGACCCAAGCUAAUUUUCGUGCUUAUAGGUGCAUAUUUAAUGAUCAGCACAGCCUGCUCUGUCUUUAGUCUGCAUUCAAUAUCAUCACACAGAGAUGUAGCUACAGAGUCCUUGCUGUUCUGAGCCUUUGUCUUUUUUUUUUUUUUUUUUUGCCUUUGUCUUGAGUCCAGAGACUCGGGUUCAAAAGAGUUCUUAAGAAACUUCUCAGAGGUUCCUGGGGUGUUAUUGAGUGCAAGCCAAUUACCAGUUCACAAAGCUGGUUUCUCCAUUUACAGCUCUAGAAGGAGAGCAGGAAAAGGAGGAAGCAAAGACAUAUUCAGCUCUUACUCUUUAUCAGAAUAUCUAUGUCUAUAUAUAUGUAUUUCAAAAAGAUGGAAACUCUGAAGUUGGCAGUGUUCUCUGAAGGAAAAGCAUAAGUAAGAAAAAACACAAAAUUAUACAGAAAAGAAGAUUGGAUCCGGGAAUUCAAGUCGAACUGGCCAAAAAAUAAUCCACAUACUUUCUACCAUAUCAUGACACCUGCUGCCCUGCAAAAUGUGAUGAAAAAUUCACCACAGUUUCUGCAUACCUCAUCACCUGUCCCAGGACUUACCCCUAGUGAGCUGAGAGUCCUCAUCUCCAGUGAAUUUUGAGAAGAGACAGCAAGGGAUCAACAAUUGAUGGGAAAAUAUAGGACAAGCUUGCAAUCUGAUCACUGUCAAAGCCUUUUGCUAUUUCUCCUAAAUGCAUUUGCAAGCACCUUGGCAACUGACUUGCUGCACUUCGGACACAGGAACCUGUACACAAAGGAAAAGGAACAAGUACAUGAUUCUGAAACUGAGAUGGGAAUCACUGGAUGAAUUUCAGUGCCUGACUUGGUCAAGGCUUCCAUUUCAAUGAGGCAUUCCCUUCCAAGACGGGGUCUCCAGCAAACAUGUUUCCAGCCUUCCAACUAGAUGAAGAGCCAGGCUACCUCUCCCCACUGAGGCUCC
This is a long non-coding RNA of Bubalus bubalis (water buffalo), 2532 nucleotides long. RefSeq lists it as uncharacterized. The transcript has 5 exons. Lineage: Eukaryota; Metazoa; Chordata; Mammalia; Artiodactyla; Bovidae. The record is from RefSeq and is a predicted model, not a curated record.